This is a long non-coding RNA of Pan troglodytes (chimpanzee), 5954 nucleotides long. RefSeq lists it as uncharacterized. NCBI's taxonomy places the organism in Eukaryota, Metazoa, Chordata, Mammalia, Primates, Hominidae. The record is from RefSeq and is a predicted model, not a curated record. The transcript is spliced from 2 exons.
UCUAUUUUUUAGUAGAGACAGGGUUUCACUGUGUUAGCCAGGAUGGUCUCGAUCUCCUGACCUCGUGAUCCGCCUGCCUUGGCCUCCCAAAGUGCUGGGAUUACAGGCGUGAGCCACUGCGCCUGGCCCAGAGUGGGAUCUUAAAGCAGAGUCUGGCUCAAGAUUGAGACAAUUCCCAGCAGAAUGAAUGGAGCAGUAACACAGUCAGAAGGCCCUGAGGGAGGCAGGUGGCUCUCUCUGUUCCUGCCAGCACUCUCUCCCCCACUUCUGAUAACAGACCUGCCGUACCAUGGGAAGAUGGCCAAAAAUGGCCGCCCACGGUACUUGUUCCUCGGCUACAGUAAUUGGUCCAUGUGUAGACAUGUGACCCAUCAUGACCAAUCAUAGCAGCCCACUUCUGAGCGGGGGCACAGCAAUUGUUCCAGGUGUAGUCAUGUGACUCAAGCAGGGCGAAUUCAGGAUUGUCUGCAGAGCUUGUAGGGAGGAUGUUUCUUUCUCUCCCUCCUCCUCUCUGGCAUCCAGGCCUUAAAGAGGUAGACUUGGCACUACCAGUGGCCUCAGACAAUAAGGCCAAUAAGCAGAGGGGAGGAGAAAUGAAAGAUGAGGUGAGGGGGUUAGGGCAGGAAGAGAACCCAGAGCUUCCAGUCCCUGGAUCCUAGAGAGCAAUACAGCCUCUUCCCUUUCCUCAUCGUAGCUACCCAGUGAAUAAAUCCCUCGUUCUACCUCAUUCAGAUCAACUUCAGUGCCUGUUGUUUGCAACCCACAGUGUCCCAAUUCAGGACUUGGGAACUGUGUUCCUUUUCAUGGAUUGUGUAGAACUGAAAGGGAUACGUCAUUCUCAGAACUUAUAUUCUUGUUCCGAUGUGCCAGCUGUACUUAAAAAUAAAAGAAUCCCAGACCCAUCUCCAUGUUCACCACCACUCCUGUUAAUUUCCUGCUGAAUUGCAGCUCAACGCAUGUGCUGGGAUUUCAAGUCCUGCCCUAAUCAAUUUACUUCCACCUCCCCAACCUUAACCCCAACCUACACGCACCUUCCUACGCUGGCCUGUGCGUGCAGCCUGCCCUGGCCUCUACUGUGACGCCUACCACGUUAUAUUUGUAAUGAUUUGUUUAUGACUGUCCCCAUACUAGGGAAGGCAUCGAGCUUGAGGAAGAGGCCCCAUUCAUCUCCGUACCCCAGGCCCUGGUACACAGCAGGCAGAUAAACCUGCCAGUAAUUUCAGCAAAUGAAACGUGGAACACGUCAAGGCCAGAGGAUGGAAAAGGCUCCAGUUUUGAUAAAAGGAGGCCUGCUUGGCUUGGAAUCCUCUCUCCUGCUGGUUGGGAGAUGCAAAGAUGUUUCCAGAGAGGGGCUGAUGAAUUGAGGGGAAAGAAAUGAGCCCAGUAUGAGUCCCCUUUCAGGGCUGAGCGGGUAUAAAACCAAACAACUUGGAACCGCUCCAAGAGAGGGGAUUAAAGCAACAUGUUAUUCUGAGUGAUUGCUUAAUUUAUUGAGCUGCGGCUGGAUCUGUAAUGAAAUACAGCCCUUGUAACUGAUAACCUCCUGCUGCCAUUGAACUUCUACAAUUAAGGAAUAUUUUCUGAGUUUCUCUGGAACGGCUCUGAAUUUUUAGCCUCUGUGGUAGGGUGCUUCUGAACAUUUGUUUUCCAGGCAAUUUUUUUUUAGUAUUAGGCUGAUGUUAAUAAAUAAGCAGCAUUUUAUUGAGUGUUUUGUGGGAACCAGGAACUUUAUAUACAUUGUUUCUAAUCCUGACACUAAUCCUGUCAAUAUCCAGUGAAAUAACUCCUAUUAUUCCCUAUUUUACAGAUGUGAAGCCACGGGAUGUUAGGUCAUUUUCUAGAGUGGUGCUGUCCAAGACAGUAGCUGUGAUGGCUCCUUGUGGCUAUUGAUGUGUAAAUUAGUUAAAAUUAAAUAAAUUUUAACAUUUACACCCUAGGUUGCACUAACAAUGAGUUCAAGUGCCCAGCAGCCCCGUGUACUGUGGCUGAUGGCUACCACAUUGGACAGUGCAGAUAUAGACCAUUUGAAGGUUACACAAGUGCUGUUGGUCAGCACUGACUUAGAUUUCCUUUUUUUUUUUUUUUUUUUUUUUUUUUUUUGAGAUGGAGUCUCGCUCUAUUGUCCAGUUUGGAGUGCAGUGGUGCAAUCUCGGCUCACUGCAACCUCCGCCUCCUGGGUUCAAGUGAUUCUCCUGCCCCAGCCUCCUGAGUAGCUGGGACUACAGGAGCAUGCCACCAUGCCCAGCUAAUUUUUGUAUUUUUAAUAGAGAUGGGGUUUCACUGGCCAGGCUGGUCUCGAACUCCUGACCUCAGGGGAUCCACCUGCCUCAGCCUCUCAAAGUGUUGGGAUUACAGGUGUGAGCCACCACACCCAGCCAGGUUCAGAUUUCAUAGCUAGAACCUGGCAGUGCCAGAAUUCAAGCCGAAGCUAAUGGGCUUUGAAGGCAGAGUUCAUCUGCCAGCCUUGUUGCUUCUUUUUCUUCCCUCUGCUGAGAAGCAAGGAACAGAGCAGUGACUGUAACCCCCUGGCUACACAUUAGAAUUACCUGCAAUUCUUUUUUUUUUUUUUGAGACGGAGUCUCACUCUGUAACCCAGGCUGGAGUGCAGUGGUGUGAUCUUGGCUCACUGCAACCUCCACCUCCCAGGUUCAAGCAAUUCUCCUGCCUCAGCCUUCCAAGUAGCCGGGAUUAUAGGCACACACCACAACGCCCAGCUAAUUUUUGUAUCUUUAGUAGAGAUGGGGUUUCGCCAUGUUGGCCAGGCUGGUCUCGAACUCCUGACGUCAGGUGAUCCACCCUCCUUGACCUCCCAAAGUGUUGGGAUUACAAGCAUGAGCCACCGCACCCGGCCUACCUACAAUUCUUUUUUUUUGAGAUGGAGUCUCGCUGUCUCCCAGGCUGGAGUGCAGUGGCGCGAUCUCAGCUCACUGCAAGCUCUACAUCCCAGGUUCAUGUCAUUCUCCUGCUUCAGCCUCCCGAGUAGCUGGGACUACAGGCGCCCGCCACCACGCCCAGCUAAUUUUUUGUAUUUUUAGUAGAGACGGGGUUUCACCAUGUUAGCCAGGAUGGUCUCAAUCUCCUGACCUCCUGAUCCUACCACCUCGGCUUCCCAAAGUGCUGGAAGCUGUGAGCUUUUUCCCAAAGUGCUGGAAGCUGUGAGCCGCCAUGCCUGGCCCCUGCAAUUCUUUAAAAAAAACGAUGGUAGGGUCCCAGGCCCAGAUAAUCUGACUUCACUGUGAUUAAGCCGGGUUGGGACAGGCAUCAGAGGUUUUUCUACUUCCCCAUGUGAUGCCACUGUGCAGCCAGCACGUAGAGCAGCUAGGCGUGAGGACCCACACAGAGGACGCUGGAAGCAGCUGGUUCAUCUGCCAGGAGAAUGCAGUAUCUUGUGACCAAGAAGUGGGCUUCUCCCAGGGCCACUUCUAAACCACCUCAUCAGAGAGCUCAGGUUCAUAUGCGAGGGAAGAAACUGAAGUGCUUUCUCACACGCUUCCAGCUUGAUGAGAAUCACAGUAGGGAGCUUUGCUUUUCCAAACAGGCUUUGUCACAUGAUCAUGGAAGAAAGGAGAUGCCCACGUAAGAUCACAGAGACAAGGUGAAAAACCCGUAGCCCCGAAUUGGAAUUGGAAGCAUCAGUAUGAAUUCAUGCUAUAUUUUUGUCUUACAAAGUAAAGCAGGUGUUUGCUAGCUCUGUCAACCAUAAAGUUUAGAAAUAAUGAGCCAUCCAAUAGCAGUGAACACCCCAGCACCCAGGUUAUGGUGUCUAAACGCCACUUCCGACUAGGAAUGAGGGCAUGGAGAAAUAACCAAUUCCAGGUCUGAGGCAAGAAAAAAAAUUCAAGAUGAGCCUGGAACAUCUGGUCAUUCCUUGCUUCCUUGAUAGCAGGGAAGGUGAGGGUCACAUUGAAAAGGAUGCAGGAGACAACAUGGAGCGGCUCCCAAUGGGGAGAGUUUGAGCAUCAUUAACAAUAAUGGGCCGAGCGCGGUGGCUCACGUCUGUAAUCCCAGCACUUUGGGAGGCCGAGGUGGGUGGAUCACAAGGUCAGGAGAUGGAGACCAUCCUGGCUAACACAGUGAAACCCCGUCUCUACUAAAAAUACAAAAAAUUAGCCGGGUGUGGUGGUGGGGCACCUGUAGUCCCAGCUACUCGGGAGGCUGAGGCAGGAGAAUGGCAUGAACCCGGGAGGCGGAGCUUGCAGUAAGCCGAGAUCGGGCCACUGCAUUCCAGCCUGGGCGACAGAGCGAGACUCCGUCUCAAAAAUAAAUAAAUAAAUAAAUAAAUAAUAAUGACUAUAGGCCAGGUGCAGUGGCUUAUGCCUGUAAUCCCAGCACUUUGGGAGGCCAAGGUGGGCAGAUCACUUGAAGUCAGGAGUUAGAGACCAGCCUGGCCAACAUGGUGAAACCCCAUCUCUACCAAAAAUAUAAAAAAUUAGCUGGGUGUGGUGGCAUACACAUGUAAUCCCAGCUACUUGGGAGGCUGAGGCAGAAGAAUCGCUUGAACCCAGGAGGCGGAAGUUGCAGUGAGCCAAGAUUGUGCCACUACACUCCAGCCUAGGUGACAGAGCAAGACGCCCAUCUCAAAAAAAAAAAAAAAAAAAGAAAGAAUGACUUUGAUGGAUUGAAACAUGUCAUAUAUGUCCAAAUCUAUGAGUUGACAAUACUUAAAAAAAAAAAAAAAGGAAAAAGAAAAAUUCAUUUAUCACCAUGGGAGGAUAUUGGAAAACCCAACUCAUUUUGAAAACUGUCAAAGAAAGGGAAAGAAGCAUUUAUCCUUUUUGGUACAAACCAUACUUUUUGGUAGCCAAAUCGUUGAUAAAUUGAUACCUUUUAUAGACAUAUGUCCACUACCAAAGACAGAAUCAUAGAAUUAGUAUACCACCAUGGUGUAAUAUCUAAUGAAAUAAUGGGCCAGGUGUAGUGGCUCAUCCCUGUAAUCCCAACACUUUCGGAGGCCGAGAUGGGAAGAUUGUUUGAGGCCAGAAGUUCAAGACCACCCUGGGCAACACAGACCUGUCUAUGCAACAAGAUCCUGUCUCUACAAAAAAAAAAAAAAAAAAAAAAAAUUAGCCAGGUUUGGGCAUGUGCCUGUAGUCCCAGCUGUUUGGAAGGCUCAGGUGGGAGGAUCCCUUGAGCCCAGGAGGUCAAGGCUGCAGUCAGCCAUGAUUGCACCACUGCACUCUAACUUACGUGACAGAGCAAGACCCCUCAAAAAAAAAAAGAAGAAGAAGAAAUUGUGGAUCUAGACAAUGAUCAUCAACAACAGCUGCUAACAUUGCAAAGAGGAACAACCAGACAGUGUGUGCCUUUGAAUGGAAGUACAAAACCACCAAUAGGAAGUGCUCAUACAAAAAAAAAAAAAAAAAAAAAUCAAACAUCAAUCUAAGUGAUCUCCUAGGCCUAACUACCAAUUUCUAAGAAAUAUAGCGGGAAGAGGAGCACAUGACACUUCUAUGGAGAUGCUAUAACCAAAAUUCAGACCACAGGAAACUACAGAACAAACAAGCCAGUUUCUUCAACAAAUAAAUUGCAAGGGAAGAAAAAGACAAGGGAAGAGAACCUACAGGUUAGGAGAGAGAGAAAAGCAAUCCCAACCGAUGGCAACAUUCGAACUUUAUUUGGAUCCUGAUUUUAACUAGCUAAAGAAACCCUUUAGCUGGGCGCGGUGGCUCACACCUGUAAUCCCAGCAUUUUGGGAGGCCAAGCCGGGUGGAUCACAAGGUCAGGAGUUCAAGACCAGCCUGGCCAAGAUGGUGAAACCCCGUCUCUACUAAAAAUACAAAAAUUAGCCAGGUGCAGUGGCGUGCACCUGUAAUCUCAGCUAUUCAGGAGGCUGAGGCAGGAGAAUCUCUUAAACCCAGAAGGCGGAGGUUGCAGUGAGCUGAUAUCACGCCACCGCACUCUAGCCUGGGCAACAGAGCAAGACUCCGUCUCAAAAAAAAAAAAAAAAAAAGAAA